UCUUCUUCGAAUUUGACAAAACUCCUAUGAUUCGCAACCAAAUAAUUCCGCUGACCAUGUUUGUUCUUCUCUGAUAUUUAUCAGAGACGUAUUGUUUCUACACGAUGUCACAAGUCUGUAUUUUAUUUCUACUUUGUUUGUAUGCUGUUAAUGACAGUUUUAUUCAUUAUUGUAUAACACAAAUACAUUUCAUUCAAAAAGUCGUCACAAGAUGGCAUGCAAAAAUAAAUCAUAUUGCGCUGAUGGAAAAAAUCUUCACAUUAGUGAAGUCUUCGGUGAAAAAAAAUAUGUUGCAACAGUUUGGCGAGCUUUACUAUACAAUAAAAGGGUUGUGUAAUGAUUUUUUGUGAAUAUCAUCGCUCGUAGAAUAUUUUUUGUUUAUACCGUGACAGCAAUGCGACAGCAAGGUUAUCAAAAGAAAAAAAGUGUUAAUUUUUUGUUAUAUCAAGGAAAAAGAAAGCAAUACUGGUUUGUAUUUAAAAUAAAUUGCGAUUGUUCCUUGAAAAAUAUACAAAAUAAUAAAGUGAUUCAUAAGGACGGAAAUGUUACGAAUUCGAUUAUGUAUGUGUUGAAGUGUCGUGAGAAUAUUUGUCAUUCAGGUCGAAAGAUAACCAUGAAAUCAGAUAUUUAUAUAUUCGCUUGGAUGCUUAUAUCGCAUACAUUCUCUCUAAACUUAUAUGAUAUACAUAAAGUUGGUCAUCGUCCCGUCCUGUUGAUAGAGGGAGAUUAUGUGUAUGUAGGUGGAGAGUUAGGUCUUGUUAAACUAAACAAAACAUCUUUUAACGAACUUAAAUUCAUUUCGGUACAAAAUGUAUGGGCAGUUCUUGUUGAUGAUGACGCAGAUUUGCUGAUUGUAUGUUCCUCUCUCGGAGACGGAGAAAGUCACUGUCAUAAAUUAACCCGGAAUUUUAAAGAAAAAGACAUAAUGACUGAGCGAUUUAUGAUCGAUCUUAACACACCUCCGUUAUACUAAAAAUGUAGAUUAUCGGAUGAAAUGGGAUAUAUGAUAGCAGCACCAUAUAUUAAGUCGUUCACUAAUCGCAAAGAUUCCAAAACUAUAUACAGCUUACAAAUGGGAAGUCUGGAUGAGUUUUCGUAUUCUAGUAAUAUUGUAUACCAUUUGAUUUAUAAUGGAAACAUGAACCGCUUGCAGAUGAGGUACAAAGCCGGUUUUGUGCAUCAACAAUUUGUAUAUUUUUUGUGUAAUGUUUAUUUAAAUGAUCAAUUUAUUGAAGCAAAGCUAGGCAAAAUGUGUGCAUCCCAUCAUACAUACUCAAGUAAUGGUUUUCGUACUUCGUAUGAAGAUAUUCCUCUUGUGUGUUACCAUGACAAUGUAAACUACACGAAGAUCGAAGAUGGUUUAGUACUGAAUCAAUGGAACGAUAAUUGUAUCUUUCAGUAAUCUGGAAUCAAGCGUUAUCUGUUCGUUUAGCAUUACAGAACUAGCAAAACGUUUCCGAGAUUCGCGGAUGAAUAUUUUACGUUGUAAUCAGAAAACAGGAUGGAAAAAUCGAAGCUUUAAACCGGUCCUUUUUCAGCUUGGAAGUCAAAAACUUAUACCUAUUUGAAAAACCAGACAUGUGCUGAAUCGAUGGUUUGUAAUGUGAUCAAAGGAGAUUUCUGCAACACUGUUCUAUAUUAUACAAUUGAGGGAGUCCAUCCAACUGUCUUAAGUGCAGUUUACAACACAACAGGGAGAGUUCUAUGUCAUCUCGCUAAAAUUGAUUCAAAUGACAUGGUGCUGAUUGCAGGAACAGAUACAGGGCAAAUUGUUAAGUUGAACAUUAGUUCCAUUGAGUCCUAUACAGUAGACGUAGAAUAUGAAAUAACAGGAUCGCACAACAUUGUUGACUUACAAACUCAAAAUGGAACAAUCUACAUAGUAACAGAUUCAAAGUUACAAAGAAUGGCUGUGGAUGACUGUGCCUUUGACACCGACUGCACUGGCUUAAAAAGCUGUCUUAGUCAUAUUAAGUCUUCGGUGUAUUUCUGUACCUUAGCUUUGCUAUACAUUAGAAGUGUCCUGUGGAAUAUUUUCUGAGCCCUUGCGUAGCAUUUUGCCUUGUUUAAAAAGCUUGUUUGUAGGGUGUCAUCUUUUAUUUUCAGUUUCCAGGCAGAAUUCUUACAAAACAAUACUUAGUGGAUUUUAUAGUCAUACAGAAAAUCUUUCAAACUUAAUUUCAUACACGACCUUAUUCAAAUCAGUUAUUAUUAAUUAAGAAUUGCAUGCUUCUUUUUGUAGUUUUAUUUGGGUGUAAAGGCGUUGACCGCAGUACAUUUUGUAUGAAGUGUGAAAUCUAAUUUCAAAAUAAGAUUUAGUUAUCUAAUAAAAUGCAUCAUUCAUGACUGCACGUGCCUCCCGUGACAUCGUCACAACAAUAGAAAAGAAAACAAACAAAAAACCUGAUACAUCACAUUAUUUCAUGGUUGUAGCAUAAAAAUGUAAUUAUAAGAAUUGAAUUUUGUUUUUUUCAUUGUAAAUUUAGAGUGUUGUAAAAGUGUUGAUGUUGCGCAGAUUUUUAGUAUGAAGUGCUUCCGCUUCUAAAUACUUCGGUGUGUAAAUAAAGAGUUUAUUUAACAACUA
Mytilus californianus (California mussel) is the source of this 2584-nucleotide long non-coding RNA. RefSeq lists it as uncharacterized. The transcript is spliced from 4 exons. Lineage: Eukaryota; Metazoa; Mollusca; Bivalvia; Mytilida; Mytilidae. The record is from RefSeq and is a predicted model, not a curated record.